CUUCGGCAAUACUUUUGUCAGUACUAGAUGCAAAGGGGAGCUUGAUAGCUGAGGUCUACUUGAGAAAAAUCCAGGGUCUUGUUCGGCUUAGUUUUAUUCAAAGUAGGUUCAAAGUUGCGGUUGGACACCCUACUCCACCCUUACAGAAAAAUUAAUGAAAAAUGUUCUACGGCAAUACUUUUGUCCGCACUAGAUGCAAAGGGAAGCCAGGUAACCUAGGUCUACUUGAUAAAAAAUCCAGGUUCAUUUUGGAACAUCAGUGAUAAAAGCUUUUUAAAAAAGGGAG
Molecule: long non-coding RNA, 286 nt
Filed under: Mytilus galloprovincialis (Mediterranean mussel)
Lineage: Eukaryota; Metazoa; Mollusca; Bivalvia; Mytilida; Mytilidae
Source: RNAcentral